Molecule: long non-coding RNA, 552 nt
Organism: Callithrix jacchus (white-tufted-ear marmoset)
Lineage: Eukaryota; Metazoa; Chordata; Mammalia; Primates; Cebidae
Source: RefSeq, a predicted model, not a curated record
CAUAACAUGUUGUCUAGAAACUUUUUUUUUGAUCAGCAAGAGUCUCACUCUGUCGCCCAGGCUGGAGUGCAGUGGCAUGAUCUCAGCUCACUACAACCUGUCUCCCGGGUUCAAGCGAUUCUCCUGCCUCAGCCUCCUGAGUAGCUGGGAUUACAGACAGAAGAGUUCCUGGAAAUGCCUUUUGUUUGAAAACACUGUCUGUCCUAACCGCUCAGAGCCAAGAACAGAGGACGAGUCCCGCUAUUAAGGAGUAAACCUUGUGAAGCAGGCGGUGGUAGAAGACACUGUCUGCUUCCUGUACAGUGGAGAAUCUGAUUUGGGGUCUGUGAUUUGAAGGAGGGUAUUCCCAGAUUUGGUGUCAUUUUCCCCUGGCCAGUCUCCCUUCCUCUUUUCUUAUACCUCAUGAGGGAAAAUGAACAGCCACAGCCAAAAGGAAGUGAAAUCCAUCAGCUAUGCCCAGUUUCUGCCCAAUAUCCAGAGUUGUUAAUGUCAUUCAUUUUUUUGGAAGCCUCUUCAAAUCCUUUUUGGAAUAAAAAUAGUUAUUAUACAUAA